Molecule: ribosomal RNA, 485 nt
Filed under: uncultured archaeon
Lineage: Archaea
Description: bacterial SSU rRNA
Rfam family: Archaeal small subunit ribosomal RNA
Source: RNAcentral
AAAGCGUCCGUAGCCGGUUUAAUAAGUCUCGUGGUGAAAUCCUGUAGCUUAACUGUGGGAAUUGCUGGAGAUACUAUUAGACUUGGGACCGGGAGAGGUUAGAGGUACUCCCAGGGUAGAGGUGAAAUUCUGUAAUCCUGGGAGGACCGCCUGUUGCGAAGGCGUCUAACUGGAACGGUUCUGACGGUGAGGGACGAAAGUUAGGGGCGCGAACCGGAUUAGAUACCCGGGUAGUCCUAACUGUAAACGAUGCGGACUUGGUGUUGGGUGGCUUUGAGCUGUCUCAGUGCCGAAGGGAAGCUGUUAAGUCCGCCGCCUGGGAAGUACGGUCGCAAGACUGAAACUUAAGGAAUUGGCGGGGGAGCACCACAACGCGUGGAGCCUGCGGUUUAAUUGGAUUCAACGCCGGACAUCUCACCAGAGGCGACAGCUGUAUGAUAGCCAGGUUGAUGACUUUGCUUGACUAGCUGAGAGGAGGUGCAUGG